AUGACGAACGAUGUCAAUCUCAUGUACCAGAAGUACGUUGCCGAGUUGGACACGAUUACGCCUGAGCAGGUGGAAUGGCAGCCAUAUGGCGCGGAUGACAGACUUGGGUACACCCCGGAGUUUAGCAUCAACCCGAUGUGCUUGCGGGAUAGGGAUCUCUGGCUUAUGCGGUGCCCACUGAUAUGCAACUGGGCUGUUGAGUUUCAUUUGCCACAUCGCGUGUUUCGUCAGUUUGGUCUGUUCCAGCCUCACCCGCCGGAAUGGGUGGAUACGGACAAAGCACUUCAUAGGUUGGACAGGAGAAGGCAGCGGAAGAUAAAGGACUGGGACAAGCAUCAUGCUUCGUAUGUUACCCACUUCCAGCUUUGCGUGGAGCAAGCUCGUAGCAGUGUACGCGCCCAGCUUCGUGAGCAUAACCCACUUGCUUUUGAUAACUACAUACGAUGGCUUCUUGAAAAUACUCGAGUUGAGAUAUGCCCGCCGGCAUAUAAUGAG
RNAcentral lists this ribosomal RNA (495 nucleotides) under Triticum aestivum (bread wheat). RNAcentral describes it as "partial small subunit ribosomal RNA". The record is from RNAcentral. Lineage: Eukaryota; Viridiplantae; Streptophyta; Magnoliopsida; Poales; Poaceae.